This 394-nucleotide unclassified non-coding RNA is filed under the name Aeromonas salmonicida subsp. salmonicida A449. The record is from RNAcentral. Lineage: Bacteria; Pseudomonadati; Pseudomonadota; Gammaproteobacteria; Aeromonadales; Aeromonadaceae.
CUCACAAGGACGAAGCUGGUUCGGCAGGAUGCAGGAACAGCGCAUAAACAGGGAAUAACCUACAGGACGUGGUCAGGGAUACCUCAGGAUGAGGCAGAGCAGCAGGGAUUACCGCUCUUCAGGAAGAACAGGACCUCGCCGGAUGCGAGCAGGACAGCUUCAGGAUGAAGCGAGAUAGCCCGGAUGGUUAUCUGCCAGGACGGCGCAAGGAACACCACAGGAUGUGGUAAGGGACACCUCCAGGAUGGAGAGAGUGCAGCAAUCAGGAACGAUUGCCAGACCAGGAUGGUCACAGGACACCUCAACGGAUUGGGAAGGGGAUAUUCCGAAGGAUCAGGAUAAAGUCAGGGAUCGCAGGGAGCAUUGCAGUUCAUGGACUGGACUAGAUGACUUG